CCUACGGGGGGCUGCAGUGGGGAAUCUUGCACAAUGGGGGAAACCCUGAUGCAGCGACGCCGCGUGAGCGAUGAAGCCCCUCGGGGUGUAAAGCUCUUUCGACAGGAACGAUUAUGACUGUACCUGGAGAAGAAGCUGCGGCUAACUACGUGCCAGCAGCCGCGGUAAUACGUAGGCAGCAAACGUUGUUCGGAAGUAUUGGGCGUAAAGAGUGUGUAGGCGGUUGCGUGUGUCUGGUGUGAAAUCUCCUGGCUCAACUGGGAGGGUGCGCCGGAAACUGCGCGGCUUGAGUACUGGAGAGGAUGGCGGAAUACCUGGUGUAGCGGUGAAAUGCGUAGAUAUCAGGAGGAACACCUGUGGUGUAGACGGCUAUCUGGACAGUCACUGACGCUGAGACACGAAAGCGUGGGGAGCAAACAGGAUUAGAUACCCGGGUAGUC
This 440-nucleotide ribosomal RNA is filed under the name uncultured bacterium. RNAcentral describes it as "partial 16S ribosomal RNA". It matches the Rfam family "Bacterial small subunit ribosomal RNA", at positions 338 to 795 of the family's 1533-position model. The record is from RNAcentral.